GCCAGACUCCUACGGGAGGCAGCAGUGGGGAAUAUUGGGCAAUGGGCGCAAGCCUGACCCAGCAACGCCGCGUGAAGGAAGAAGGCCUUCGGGUUGUAAACUUCUUUUAUUGAGGACGAAACAAAUGACGGUACUCAAUGAAUAAGCCACGGCUAACUACGUGCCAGCAGCCGCGGUAAUACGUAGGUGGCAAGCGUUAUCCGGAUUUACUGGGUGUAAAGGGAGCGUAGACGGCAAUACAAGUCGGAAGUGAAAUACCCGGGCUCAACCUGGGAACUGCUUUGGAAACUGUAUGGCUGGAGUGCUGGAGAGGUAAGCGGAAUUCCUAGUGUAGCGGUGAAAUGCGUAGAUAUUAGGAGGAACACCGGUGGCGAAGGCGGCCUGCUGGACUGCAACUGACGUUGAGGCCCGAAAGCGUGGGGAGCAAACAGGAUUAGAUACCCUGGUAU
This 449-nucleotide ribosomal RNA is filed under the name uncultured bacterium. RNAcentral's name for it is "bacterial SSU rRNA". It matches the Rfam family "Bacterial small subunit ribosomal RNA", at positions 330 to 793 of the family's 1533-position model. The record is from RNAcentral.